UACGUAGGGUGCGAGCGUUGUCCGGAAUUAUUGGGCGUAAAGAGCUCGUAGGCGGUCUGUCGCGUCGAUCGUGAAAACUUGGGGCUUAACCCUGAGCUUGCGGUCGAUACGGGCAUGACUGGAGUUCGGCAGGGGAGACUGGAAUUCCUGGUGUAGCGGUGAAAUGCGCAGAUAUCAGGAGGAACACCGGUGGCGAAGGCGGUGGUCUGGGCCGGCACUGACGCUGAGGAGCGAAAGCGUGGGGAGCAAACAGG
This 254-nucleotide ribosomal RNA is filed under the name uncultured bacterium. RNAcentral describes it as "partial 16S ribosomal RNA". It matches the Rfam family "Bacterial small subunit ribosomal RNA", at positions 524 to 776 of the family's 1533-position model. The record is from RNAcentral.